This 654-nucleotide ribosomal RNA is filed under the name uncultured bacterium. Its description in RNAcentral is "bacterial SSU rRNA". It matches the Rfam family "Bacterial small subunit ribosomal RNA", at positions 42 to 713 of the family's 1533-position model. The record is from RNAcentral.
GCGUGCCUAACACAUGCAAGUCGAACGAGAAAGUUGGUUUCGGCCGACGAGUAAAGUGGCGAACGGGUGAGUAACGCGUGGGUGAUCUGCCCUUUUGUGGGGGAUAACCCGCCGAAAGGCGGGCUAAUACCGCAUAAUCCUGUGCUAAUGGGUACAGGGAAAGGCUUUUAGUUGCAGAAGGAGGAGCCCGCGUCCGAUUAGCUAGUUGGUGAGGUAAGAGCUCACCAAGGCGACGAUGGGUAGCCGGUCUGAGAGGACGGACGGCCACACUGGGACUGAGACACGGCCCAGACUCCUACGGGAGGCAGCAGUGGGGAAUUUUGGGCAAUGGGGGAAACCCUGACCCAGCAACGCCGCGUGGAGGAAGAAGAUUUUCGGAUCGUAAACUCCUGUCCGGAGGGACGAAGCAAGUGACGGUACCUCUGGAGGAAGCCCCGGCUAACUCCGUGCCAGCAGCCGCGGUAAUACGGGGGGGGCAAGCGUUGUUCGGAAUUACUGGGCGUAAAGGGCGCGUAGGCGGCUUAGGAAGUCAUGGGUGAAAGGCCUCGGCUCAACCGAGGAAUUGCCUGUGAAACCACUGAGCUGGAGUGCUGGAGAGGAAAGCGGAAUCCCAGUGUAGCGGUGAAAUGCGUAGAUAUGGGGAGGAACAUCUGA